This 181-nucleotide ribosomal RNA is filed under the name Escherichia coli. RNAcentral's name for it is "partial 23S ribosomal RNA". It matches the Rfam family "Bacterial large subunit ribosomal RNA", at positions 2768 to 2925 of the family's 2925-position model. The record is from RNAcentral. Lineage: Bacteria; Pseudomonadati; Pseudomonadota; Gammaproteobacteria; Enterobacterales; Enterobacteriaceae.
GUGCUGAAAGCAUCUAAGCACGAAACUUGCCCCGAGAUGAGUUCUCCCUGAGACCUUGAGUCUCCUGAAGGAACGUUGAAGACGACGACGUUGAUAGGCCGGGUGUGUAAGCGCAUCGAUGCGUUGAGCUAACCGGUACUAAUGAACCGUGAGGCUUAACCUUACAACGCCGAAGGUGUUU